GUUGUAUAGUCAAGUAAUUAAGUGCAUGUGGUGGAUGCCUUGGCAGUCAGAGGCGAUGAAAGACGUGAUAGCCUGCGAAAAGCUCCGGGGAGGCGGCAAAUAUCCUUUGAUCCGGAGAUGUCUGAAUGGGGGAACCCACCUACUUUAAGGUAGGUAUUGCAACAUGAAUACAUAGUGUUGCAAGGCGAACGAGGGGAAGUGAAACAUCUCAGUACCCUUAGGAAAAGAAAUCAAUUGAGAUUCCCUCAGUAGCGGCGAGCGAACGGGGAUCAGCCCAUUAAGUUAUGUGUGUUUUAGUGGAACGCUCUGGGAAGUGCGAACGUAGAGGGUGAUAUUCCCGUACACGAAAGGGCACACAUAAUGAUGACGAGUAGGGCGAGGCACGUGAAACCUUGUCUGAAUAUGGGGGGACCAUCCUCCAAGGCUAAAUACUCCUGACUGACCGAUAGUGAACCAGUACCGUGAGGGAAAGGCGAAAAGAACCCCUGUGAGGGGAGUGAAAUAGAUCCUGAAACCGCAUGCAUACAAGCAGUGGGAGCACCUUCGUGGUGUGACUGCGUACCUUUUGUAUAAUGGGUCAGCGACUUAUAUUCAGUAGCGAGGUUAACCGUAUAGGGGAGCCGUAGAGAAAUCGAGUCUUAAUAGGGCGUUUAGUUGCUGGGUAUAGACCCGAAACCAGGCGAUCUAUCCAUGAGCAGGUUGAAGGUUGGGUAACACUAACUGGAGGACCGAACCCACUGUCGUUGAAAAGCCAGGGGAUGACUUGUGGAUAGGGGUGAAAGGCUAAUCAAGCCUGGUGAUAGCUGGUUCUCCCCGAAAGCUAUUUAGGUAGCGCCUCGGACGAAUACCAUAGGGGGUAGAGCACUGUUUCGGCUAGGGGGUCAUCCCGACUUACCAAACCGAUGCAAACUCCGAAUACCUAUGAGUACUAUCCGGGAGACAGACUGCGGGUGCUAACGUCCGUAGUCAAGAGGAAAACAAUCCAGACCGCCAGCUAAGGCCCCAAAAUCAUAGUUAAGUGGGAAACGAUGUGGGAAGGCAUAGACAGCUAGGAGGUUGGCUUAGAAGCAGCCACCCUUUAAAGAAAGCGUAAUAGCUCACUAGUCGAGUCGGCCUGCGCGGAAGAUGUAACGGGGCUAAAACUAUGUGCCGAAGCUGCGGAUNNNNNNNNNNNNNNNNNNNNNNAUGCUGGAGGUAUCAGAAGUGCGAAUGCUGACGUGAGUAACGACAAAACGGGUGAAAAACCCGUUCGCCGAAAGACCAAGGGUUCCAGUCCAACGUUAAUCGGGGCUGGGUGAGUCGACCCCUAAGGCGAGGCCGAAAGGCGUAGUCGAUGGGAAAAUGGUUAAUAUUCCAUUACUUCUGUGUAAUGCGAUGAGAGGACGGAGAAGGCUAAAUCAGCCUGGCGUUGGUUGUCCAGGUGAAAGGAUGUAGGCAUGUAUCUUAGGCAAAUCCGGGGUACUCUAUGCUGAGAUCUGAUAGCAAGCUGUACUUGUACAGCGAAGUGGUUGAUGCCAUGCUUCCAGGAAAAGUCUCUAAGCUUCAGUUACACAGGAAUCGUACCCGAAACCGACACAGGUGGUCAGGUCGAGUAGACCAAGGCGCUUGAGAGAACUCUGCUGAAGGAACUAGGCAAAAUGGUACCGUAACUUCGGGAGAAGGUACGCUGUUGUUGGUGAUGGAACUCGCUUCCUGAGCUGACGACAGCCGCAGAAACCAGGCCGCUGCAACUGUUUAUUAAAAACAUAGCACUCUGCAAACACGAAAGUGGACGUAUAGGGUGUGAUGCCUGCCCGGUGCUGGAAGGUUAAUUGAUGGGGUUAGCGUAAGCGAAGCUCUUGAUCGAAGCCCCAGUAAACGGCGGCCGUAACUAUAACGGUCCUAAGGUAGCGAAAUUCCUUGUCGGGUAAGUUCCGACCUGCACGAAUGGCAUAAUGAUGGCGGCGCUGUCUCCAGCAGAGGCUCAGUGAAAUCGAAAUCGCUGUGAAGAUGCAGUGUACCCGCGGCUAGACGGAAAGACCCCGUGAACCUUUACUGCAGCUUGACACUGAACUUUGACCUUACUUGUGUAGGAUAGGUGGGAGGCUUUGAAGCUGGAACGCUAGUUCCAGUGGAGCCGUCCUUGAAAUACCACCCUGGUAAUGUUGAGGUUCUAACUCUGUCCCGUGAUCCGGGACGAGGACCGUGUCUGGUGGGUAGUUUGACUGGGGCGGUCUCCUCCUAAAGAGUAACGGAGGAGUACGAAGGUGCGCUCAGCGUGGUCGGAAAUCACGCGUAGAGUAUAAAGGCAAAAGCGCGCUUAACUGCGAGACCCACAAGUCGAGCAGGUACGAAAGUAGGUCUUAGUGAUCCGGUGGUUCUGUAUGGAAGGGCCAUCGCUCAACGGAUAAAAGGUACUCUGGGGAUAACAGGCUGAUACCGCCCAAGAGUUCAUAUCGACGGCGGUGUUUGGCACCUCGAUGUCGGCUCAUCUCAUCCUGGGGCUGAAGCAGGUCCCAAGGGUAUGGCUGUUCGCCAUUUAAAGAGGUACGCGAGCUGGGUUUAGAACGUCGUGAGACAGUUCGGUCCCUAUCUACCGUGGGCGCUGGAAAUUUGAGAGGAUCUGCUCCUAGUACGAGAGGACCAGAGUGGACGAACCUCUGGUGUACCGGUUGUGACGCCAGUCGCAUCGCCGGGUAGCUAUGUUCGGAAGGGAUAACCGCUGAAAGCAUCUAAGCGGGAAGCCUACCUCAAGAUAAGAUUUCCCUAGGACUUUAUGUCCUCUAAAGAGCCGUUCGAGACUAGGACGUUGAUAGGUUGGAUGUGGAAGCAUAGUGAUAUGUGAAGCUGACCAAUACUAAUUGCUCGUGAGGCUUGACUAUACAACACCCAAGCAGUUG
This 2879-nucleotide ribosomal RNA is filed under the name Acinetobacter baumannii. Its description in RNAcentral is "23S ribosomal RNA". It matches the Rfam family "Bacterial large subunit ribosomal RNA". The record is from RNAcentral. Lineage: Bacteria; Pseudomonadati; Pseudomonadota; Gammaproteobacteria; Moraxellales; Moraxellaceae.